CCUACGGGAGGCAGCAGUGGGGAAUAUUGCACAAUGGGGGAAACCCUGAUGCCGCGACGCCGCGUGAGUGAAGAAGUAUUUCGGUAUGUAAAGCUCUAUCAGCAGGGACGAACAUGACGGUACCUUACUAAGAAGCCCCGGCUAACUACGUGCCAGCAGCCGCGGUCAUCCGUAGGGGGCAAGCGUUAUCCGGAUUUACUGGGUGUAAAGGGAGCGUAGACGGCAGAGCAAGUCUGAAGUGAAAGCCCGCGGCGCAACUGCGGGACUGCUUUGGAAACUGCCCGGCUAGAGUGCUGGAGAGGUAAGCGGAAUUCCUAGUGUAGCGGUGAAAUGCGUAGAUAUUAGGAGGAACACCAGUGGCGAAGGCGGCUUACUGGACAGUAACUGACGUUGAGGCUCGAAAGCGUGGGGAGCAAACAGGAUUAGAUACCCAAGUAGUC
RNAcentral lists this ribosomal RNA (440 nucleotides) under uncultured bacterium. RNAcentral describes it as "partial 16S ribosomal RNA". It matches the Rfam family "Bacterial small subunit ribosomal RNA", at positions 338 to 795 of the family's 1533-position model. The record is from RNAcentral.